GUGCUCUCUUUGGCUGCAAAUAUACUAAAAUUGGAAUGACACAAGAUUAGCAUGACUCCUGCGCAAGCAUGACACUCAAAUUCAUAAAGCGUUCCAUAAAAAA
Molecule: small nuclear RNA, 103 nt
Organism: Rattus norvegicus (Norway rat)
Lineage: Eukaryota; Metazoa; Chordata; Mammalia; Rodentia; Muridae
Source: Ensembl